GAAGAUAUGACAAAGAAACAAGCUUCGUUUUGUUUUCAGUUUUAAGAAAUGACGCCAACAUUGCAGGCUGAUGUAUCGAAUGAUUUUAUGUGAUAACUUGUAACUUGGCAGGUUUCCCUGGUGGCUCAGACAGUAAAGAAUCUGCCUGCAUGCGGGAGACCUGGGUUCGAUCCCUGGGUCGGGAAAAUCCCCUGGAGAAGGGAAUGGCAACCCACUCCAGUAUUCCUGCCUGAAGAAUCCCAUGGACAGAGGAGCCUGGUGGGCUACAUGGGGUCCAUGGGGUUGCAGAGUUGGACACAACUGAGCAACUUACUGCUAACACAAUUUGUUAAGAUUAACAUAUUUUACACCUUUUAUUUGUAGUAGUUGUUGUAAUCUUAAAGAUGAGCAGGUAAACUUCAUGUUUAUAUGCCUUCACAACAUUUUGGCAUUAAUCUCCCCUCUGCACUGUAAUCUUUGUGAUUGUUGUGGAUGUUUAGUGGGUAUUACUGAGGGUGACACAGAGUGUGUGAUAGAUUAUAUGCCAAGAUGGUCACCAGCAGCCCCUCCUAUUCCUACAUGAGUGCUGGCCUCUCCUCUAGAAGUGUAGUUUAUUUUCCUUUCUCUUAAAUCUGGGAUGACUUUGCUUUGUCCAAAAGAAUGGAACAGAAGUAAUAUUGCACCAAGCUUUGUGAAGCAUUGCAACUUGUACUUUCAUUCUUUUUGGAGCCCUCUGAGACACAGUAUAAAAGAGUCCAUCUAUUCUGCUCAACAGAGAAGCCAUAAGAAGAGAAACAGUCCCAGACAUCCUGGGCCAUUUCAGCCACACUAGCUGGAGCUCCAGACAGGUAAGUGAAAACAUCUGAGAUCCUCCAGGCCAGGUGAGCCAUCCUAGACAAGACUACACGGGACAAAGAGGAGCACCCUGCCCAAAUCCUGCCUAAUUUGGAGAAUUGUAGGCAAAAAUGUGGCUGCUGUUGUUGUUGUUAGCCACUCACUUUUGGCAUGGCUCCUUAUGCAGCAGUAGAUCCGCAGCGUGGUCUUCCCUGGGAAGAAUCCCAGCCUCAGAAGCACCCUAUCCAAGAGCAGUUUGUUUCCUUUGUCUCAUGUUUUUAUCUUCUGUCCUGAGCAACUUCCUCUUUAUUUCUUCAGUUACCACUCCACUAUCUGAUCUAUCCACUCUCCAUGGAUUUUCAAGGAAGAUCAGUGAUGUUGUGAAAAAGGUCUUGACCUUUGAUUGGUACCCUCAGAGAAGACUAUCAGGCAUAAAGACCAAUAGGAACCCAAAGCAGUGAGAGAAGCUGAAAAUAAGGGAACUGUGCCUCUUGUCUCCAUGGAGGCUUUGGAGAAAAGGUGUUAAUGGUUAAUUUAUUUCUUCAUUUAUUCAGUCAAUGAACAUUAUUGCAGGUAUUUUAAGUACUUUCCAUUUCUUAACAUUCUUUAGCUGUGUAAUUACUUGUUCAUUGGUCUUCUGCCUAAUUAGACUGUGAGCUGUACAUGGCCAGAUCUGUUUUAUCUUAUUCACAACUAUUUUUCUAGCAUUUAAUAUAAUGCCUAGCAUUUUGAAGGUAUUGGAUAAACAUUUGUUGGAUUGACGUACAGGAAUUGCAAGUCGGGAAAAUACAUUUACCAAACCAGAGAUAGAAGGAAGAAAGAAGAAAUGGUUGAUGUUAAAUUAAAAAGUGGGCAAGAGUCUACAUAUUAAAACAAAAACAUGCAUGCCCUAAUGGACUUUAAAAUAAAUGUGGUCUAUUUGAUUAAUUCUGUUAGUUA
Molecule: long non-coding RNA, 1752 nt
Filed under: Bos indicus x Bos taurus (hybrid cattle)
Lineage: Eukaryota; Metazoa; Chordata; Mammalia; Artiodactyla; Bovidae
Description: lncRNA (ENSBIXG00000027488.1)
Source: RNAcentral